This 78-nucleotide transfer RNA is filed under the name Affinundibacterium amnicola. RNAcentral's name for it is "tRNA-Gln". It matches the Rfam family "tRNA". From Rfam's summary of the family: Transfer RNA (tRNA) molecules are approximately 80 nucleotides in length. The record is from RNAcentral. Lineage: Bacteria; Pseudomonadati; Pseudomonadota; Betaproteobacteria; Burkholderiales; Oxalobacteraceae.
AGGGGGUUAGCCAAGUGGUCUAAGGCAUCUGGUUUUGAACCAGACAUUUCGAAGGUUCGAAUCCUUCAUCCCCUGCCA